This is a non-coding RNA of Elephantulus edwardii (Cape elephant shrew), 1545 nucleotides long. The record is from the annotation of a RefSeq genome assembly. Lineage: Eukaryota; Metazoa; Chordata; Mammalia; Macroscelidea; Macroscelididae.
AUGGGGCUGGCUGGAUUCAGCAAGCCUUCUGGAGUGCUUUCAGUAGUCCUGGGCUCAGCCUCCCUCCAACCCCCCUCCAUCUUCCCCUUGGCCUUAUGCUGCAAUGACAAAGACAAAGCAUCUGUGACAGUGGGCUGCUUGGUGACUGGCUUCAUCCCAGAGCCAGUGAAGGUGACCUGGGACACUGGUUCCCUGAACAACAAUGCCGUGACCUUACCUGCCACCCUUCACACAAACUCCAGCCUCUAUACCACAGUGAGUUGGGUGACUGUGUCAGGAGAGUGGUCUCAACAGAAAUUCACCUGCAAUGUGGUGCACAGUCCGUCCAACAGUACCGACAAGAAGACGUUCGCAUGUUCCAAGAACGUCAUCUCGCCCACCAUAAAGAUCUUCCACACCGCUUGUGAUCCCCACAAUGACCCACAGUCCAAGAUGUAUCUGCUUUGCCUCAUCACCGGCUACACUCCAGGGGAAAUCAAGGUCACCUGGCUGGUAAACGGAGAGGAGGACUUGAGCCUCUACCCAGCCACCUCCCAGCCCAGGCUGGAGGGCAAGCUGGCCUCCAUCUCUAGUGAGCUCAACAUCACCCACGGCCAGUGGAUUCCAGAAAGGACCUACACCUGUAAAGCUACCAUCCAUGGCAUGUCCUAUAAGUCCAGUGUAAGAAGGUGCACAGAUUCAAAAGCCCGAGGAAUAGAUGUUUACCUCAUUCCACCCAGCCCCUUGGACCUCUAUGUCAACAAGAUGCCUAAACUCACCUGCCUGGUUGUAGACCUUGCCAGUAAGGAAAGUCUUAAUAUACAAUGGUCCCGGGACAGGAGGACUCCUCUGCAGGAUGUCCAAACCAUGACAAAGGAAGAAAAUAAUGCAACAUAUACCGCUAUAUCCACUUUGUCAGUGAACAUCAAAGAUUGGGUUGCGGGCAAGCGUUUGGUGCCCAGUCUUCACGUGUUCUUGCCACCUGAGGAGAAAAACGAGGACAGGCGCACACUCACCUGCCUGGUCCAGAAUUUCUUCCCCGCUGAUAUCUCGGUGCAUUGGCUGCAGAAUAUGGUCCCCGUACCACCAAAUCAAGUCUACACCAGCGAACCCAAGCCAGUCAAGGGCCUUACCAGUACCUUCUUCAGCUUCAGCCUCCUGGAUGUCAGCAAGGCCGACUGGGAGAAGCACACAUUCACCUGCCGAGUGAUCCACGAGACGCUGCCCGGAAACAAGACCCUCACGAAAUCGGUGUCGAAAGACUCCGGCAAGUCACUCAAGGGCCUGUACAACUGCAGGUCCCAAUCCAGGCCCAAGGAUCCCUGUGCUGAGACCAGCACUUACUGUCCCAUCUCCUCAGAGCUGGACCUUCAGGACUUGUGCGUGGAGGAGCCGGAGAGCAAGGAGCUAGAGGAGUUGUGGACUAGCACCUACAUCUUCAUCAUUCUCUUCCUGUUCAGCGUGAGCUACAGUGCCACGGUCACCUUAGUCAAGGUCCAGUGGGUCUUCUCAACCACAUUGCGAGGAAAACCCCAAGACGUCCACUACUACAGCAACAUCAUGUAG